Molecule: unclassified non-coding RNA, 315 nt
Filed under: Hevea brasiliensis (rubber tree)
Lineage: Eukaryota; Viridiplantae; Streptophyta; Magnoliopsida; Malpighiales; Euphorbiaceae
Source: RNAcentral
AAGAUCUCAUAACAUGAAGUUUUACAGAUAGUCUAAAGUUCUAAAACAUUUAAUAAUUAUCAACAUAACAAUUCCAAUAUGUGCAAAACAAGUAACUUUCUGGCAAAAAUAAACUCUUAUUUUCUCCCUUUCAUCACUUCUGCCACUGCCAAAUAAAAUAUCUUUUCAUCAGUCAAGUAAGGUCUACUCAAAGAUGUCGGACAUAUCCGCCACAAAAAUCCUUUGAUUUCAUAAUCUCUAACUUAAUGCAAAAUGAAGCAACAAUGUAAUAUGCCUUUCCAGAGCUUGGUACUUCCUCUUCUUAGUUGAAGUGAU